CCUAAUUUAGCUUAAUAAAAGCAUCUCGCUUACACCGAGAGGAUAUCUGUUAAAACCAGAUUAUUAUGA
RNAcentral lists this transfer RNA (69 nucleotides) under Gastrotheca sp. RNAcentral's name for it is "tRNA-Val". It matches the Rfam family "tRNA". Rfam says of the family: Transfer RNA (tRNA) molecules are approximately 80 nucleotides in length. Their secondary structure includes four short double-helical elements and three loops (D, anti-codon, and T loops). Further hydrogen bonds mediate the characteristic L-shaped molecular structure. tRNAs have two regions of fundamental functional importance: the anti-codon, which is responsible for specific mRNA codon recognition, and the 3' end, to which the tRNAs corresponding amino acid is attached (by aminoacyl-tRNA synthetases). tRNAs cope with the degeneracy of the genetic code in two manners: having more than one tRNA (with a specific anti-codon) for a particular amino acid; and 'wobble' base-pairing, i.e. permitting non-standard base-pairing at the 3rd anti-codon position. Lineage: Eukaryota; Metazoa; Chordata; Amphibia; Anura; Hemiphractidae. The record is from RNAcentral.